This is a long non-coding RNA of Procambarus clarkii (red swamp crayfish), 987 nucleotides long. RefSeq lists it as uncharacterized. The record is from RefSeq and is a predicted model, not a curated record. NCBI's taxonomy places the organism in Eukaryota, Metazoa, Arthropoda, Malacostraca, Decapoda, Cambaridae.
UUUUACUAUAAUAAUUAAUUUAACUAUAUUUAAAUAUAAUUUGUAUUAAUACAAAUAAAUUAAAUUAGGUUGGUAGUACCUGAGGCGAAAACAGUCUCACUGCUGACGUCAUCAGUGAUAAUGGAGACCUGCCACGGGCUUUUUGACUCCCGUCACUGUGACGGUACCCGCCACGUACGGGCUAGUUGACACCCGUCACUGUGACGGUACCCGUCACGGGCUUGUAGUGUCACGGGGCUAUAGUGUCACUUGUCAUCCAAGAACUCUAGGGGUGCGGAGUCUCAAGGGCCCGGAUAUCAAGGAAAACCUCCCCCCAACAUUCACCGAUGAUUUAAGAUUACUUAAAGGCAGCCACUUUUCUUGAAGGUAAAUUAAAGAAAUUAGUAGUUUAGCAAGAGGACGGGCACAGCACAGCCUCCAUAAAAUGGAAAUAAAUGAUAGAAAUUGGUACAGUAUUAUAAGGUGAUGCCUCAGCAGACAGGACAGCACUGAUCUUCUCUCAGCACCGGGUUGUCACAUGCUGGAGGUGGGCACGAGCUCACCUGACACUCCACAUUUCCUCUCUGAAAAGAUAUUUCAGAAAAAAAAUGUAGUUUAUAAUAAAAAAAAUUAUCACAAUGUAUAACUUGUUCACCACUUAUGUCACACUACAAUAACUGAUAAUUUGGUAUUUUAAAAAAUUCUAAAUUUCCUAUUUUCAUGCACUCCAAUGAAAACGGGACAAAUACAUAAUCUUAAAAGUUAGGACCUUUGCACGCCCAGUAGACCUAGGUUUAGUUGCAUCCCAUGGCAAGCAGCACUGCACUCACAGAUUUUUGGCACUGGUGAUUAUCUCUGUUAGUUAUAAAUUGUUACUAUAUUUGUUUUCCAUAUGAAUGUACUGUAUAGGUACAGGUGAUCUUCAUUUAACAUCGCCUCAAUUAAUGCUAUUGUAUUUAGUUUUUGUCGUUUACUUAAAACGGAUAAAUUAAAUUAUUUAAAUUUAAA